Molecule: ribosomal RNA, 587 nt
Filed under: uncultured bacterium
Lineage: Bacteria
Description: partial 16S ribosomal RNA
Rfam family: Bacterial small subunit ribosomal RNA
Source: RNAcentral
UGGGGAAUUUUGGACAAUGGGCGAAAGCCUGAUCCAGCAAUGCCGCGUGUGUGAAGAAGGCCUUCGGGUUGUAAAGCACUUUUGUCCGGAAAGAAAUCCUUGGCUCUAAUACAGUCGGGGGAUGACGGUACCGGAAGAAUAAGCACCGGCUAACUACGUGCCAGCAGCCGCGGUAAUACGUAGGGUGCAAGCGUUAAUCGGAAUUACUGGGCGUAAAGCGUGCGCAGGCGGUUUGCUAAGACCGAUGUGAAAUCCCCGGGCUCAACCUGGGAACUGCAUUGGUGACUGGCAGGCUAGAGUAUGGCAGAGGGGGGUAGAAUUCCACGUGUAGCAGUGAAAUGCGUAGAGAUGUGGAGGAAUACCGAUGGCGAAGGCAGCCCCCUGGGCCAAUACUGACGCUCAUGCAUGAAAGCGUGGAGAGCAAACAGGAUUAGAUACCCUGGUAGUCCACGCCCUAAACGAUGUCAACUAGUUGUUGGGGCAUUCAUUUUCCUUAGUAACGUAGCUAACGCGUGAAGUUGACCGCCUGGGGAGUACGGUCGCAAGAUUAAAACUUAAAUGAAUUGACGGGGUCAUAGCUGUUUCCU